RNAcentral lists this transfer RNA (73 nucleotides) under Actinomadura madurae. RNAcentral's name for it is "tRNA-Lys". It matches the Rfam family "tRNA". Rfam says of the family: Transfer RNA (tRNA) molecules are approximately 80 nucleotides in length. Lineage: Bacteria; Bacillati; Actinomycetota; Actinomycetes; Streptosporangiales; Thermomonosporaceae. The record is from RNAcentral. RNAcentral also lists the same sequence under 1 other name.
GCCGCUCGCGCCUGUUGGGACGGGCACCGGUCUCUUACGCCGGGGUGAAGGGGUUCGAAUCCUCUGGGCGGCA